RNAcentral lists this ribosomal RNA (459 nucleotides) under Acinetobacter sp. BAB-3708. RNAcentral describes it as "bacterial SSU rRNA". It matches the Rfam family "Bacterial small subunit ribosomal RNA", at positions 53 to 505 of the family's 1533-position model. The record is from RNAcentral. Lineage: Bacteria; Pseudomonadati; Pseudomonadota; Gammaproteobacteria; Moraxellales; Moraxellaceae.
ACAUGCAGUCGAGCGGGGGAGAUUGCUUCGGUAAUUGACCUAGCGGCGGAGGGGUGAGUAAUACUUAGGAAUCUGCCUAUUAAUGGGGGACAACAUCUCGAAAGGGAUGCUAAUACCGCAUACGCCCUACGGGGGAAAGCAGGGGAUCACUUGUGACCUUGCGUUAAUAGAUGAGCCUAAGUCGGAUUAGCUAGUUGGUGGGGUAAAGGCCUACCAAGGCGACGAUCUGUAGCGGGUCUGAGAGGAUGAUCCGCCACACUGGGACUGAGACACGGCCCAGACUCCUACGGGAGGCAGCAGUGGGGAAUAUUGGACAAUGGGGGGAACCCUGAUCCAGCCAUGCCGCGUGUGUGAAGAAGGCCUUAUGGUUGUAAAGCACUUUAAGCGAGGAGGAGGCUCUUUUGGUUAAUACCCAAGAUGAGUGGACGUUACUCGCAGAAUAAGCACCGGCUAACUCUG